UUGCUUUAAGGACAACCAUUUAUUGACAGCAACACAACAGAUAUAUAUAUUUUGAUAAGAUUACAUCUGUGAAACAACAAUAAUGAAAACAUGAAAACUAUAUAACUAACAUAUUUUGGCUUCUAAAAUCAAAUAAUAACCAGAUGCUCCGCAGGGCGCAGCUUUAUACGACCGCAGAGGUUGAACCCUGAUUGGUUGGGCAAGUAUGGACACAACAUUCAAGCUGGAUUCAGCUCUAAAUUUGGAUUGUGAUUAAAUAGUUGACACAGCAUAGGUUUCUGACACAGAAUGAAUGUGGU
This 299-nucleotide long non-coding RNA is filed under the name Mytilus galloprovincialis (Mediterranean mussel). The record is from RNAcentral. Lineage: Eukaryota; Metazoa; Mollusca; Bivalvia; Mytilida; Mytilidae.